UACAGAGGGGGCAAGCGUUGUUCGGAAUUACUGGGCGUAAAGGGCGCGUAGGCGGCCUUCUAAGUUGAACGUGAAAUCCCCGGGCUCAACCCGGGAACUGCGUCCAAGACUGGGAGGCUAGAAUCCGGGAGAGGGAUGUGGAAUUCCAGGUGUAGCGGUGAAAUGCGUAGAUAUCUGGAGGAACAUCGGUGGCGAAGGCGGCAUCCUGGACCGGUAUUGACGCUGAGGCGCGAAAGCCAGGGGAGCAAACGGG
This 253-nucleotide ribosomal RNA is filed under the name uncultured bacterium. RNAcentral's name for it is "partial 16S ribosomal RNA". It matches the Rfam family "Bacterial small subunit ribosomal RNA", at positions 524 to 776 of the family's 1533-position model. The record is from RNAcentral.